AUAGGCAGCUUUAGCCAACCAGGCAGCUGACUGCAGAUACAGGCCUGCAUCCAGAUGAGUCCAGAAAAGCAACCUAGACACUACUGGCAAAGACAUUGAAAAGAAUCACACUGCUAAACCAGUAGCAGCUUUUAUCUUCUUCUCAGAUUGUAUACAUGCAGGAUAAAAGUGUUUCUAACACAUAGACUUCUAUAUUCCAGCAUAAAGAUGUAUUAGGCGCAUUUAUACUUUUACAUCGAAGCCUGUUUCAACAUGAACGGAGCCCAGAUAUUUAUGUAGGCCAGUAAUUGGAGUGUAUUUCCCUGUUCAAUUUCACAUUGUCUAUAAAAGGGUUUCUCAUGAUCGAUGACUUUCUAGUUAAAUUCAGAAGAAAACAUCUUGCAGCUACUGCCCUAUUGCCAUGGCCACACAUCACUGCCUUCUAGACAUGGGAAGUUGGUGACUUAAUCCUCGUUAUACCCUGAUUUUGGACAAAUUUUACAAGAAGAAUAGGACUUCUACUUCUCUAUGUCUACAUGCACCUGGAACAGUGCUAGGUCUAUGCUUACAAAUUGAUUGGUUCAGGUCACCGCCAUGAGCCUCAGGACAGAAAAUUGCCGGAUAUGAGAGAGAGAGAGAGAUUUGACUGGGCUAAGAAAGAAAUGAACACGAUUUAGAGAUGGAAAUGGUGACAUAUGGGCCUUUGAAGCCUCCCAUGUUCCAGAGAAGCCUUUUCUAGCUGAUCUCCCACCAUGACAUCCUUCCCCCACAGCUGGUUUGUCUGUUAUUCCACCCUCUGACUUCAUCCUUCAGGUGAGGUUUCACCAUGUUAGUCAGGAUGGUCUCGAUCUCCUGACCUCGUGACCUGCCCAGCUCGGCCUCCCAAAGUGCUGGGAUUACAGGCAUGAGCCAUUGCGCCUAACCUCAGAAACCAUUUUUAUAACCUCAAUACCUAAUAGAAACUGGCACAUGGCCCCUGUGAGCUGUGACUGCAAGAGUCAGCACCUAAAUUAGAUCAACACUACAACAUCAAAAAGCCAGCUUGAUGGCACAGCGGGGAGUGAGGAAGACUCGGUGGACAAAUCUGACUGGAAAACAAGUAGGCGUUGCAGAUGAAGACCUGGAACCAUGGUAGGAAGUGGGACAGGGAGCAUUUGGACAAGCUGUUCAAGAACUGAUCAUGCUCAUGUGUAUGGGAAAACAGAUGGAGGAAGAGAAAUUCCUGAAGAGCACAAGACUGGUGGGGCAAGGAACAAGCCUACUGAGAUGAGUUGCAGAUUUGAAGAUGGGAGAAAUGGUUUCGUUGUCUACCAUGUAAAAACUCAUUUAUGCAAGAUGCUUGAUAUCUGAAUUUCAAUUUCUUCAUUAUCAAAAUGAAUAUUAAAAAUACUCUACUUCUUAGAGUUGUCAAAAA
This 1393-nucleotide long non-coding RNA is filed under the name Homo sapiens (human). RNAcentral describes it as "long intergenic non-protein coding RNA 1911". Lineage: Eukaryota; Metazoa; Chordata; Mammalia; Primates; Hominidae. The record is from RNAcentral.